RNAcentral lists this unclassified non-coding RNA (391 nucleotides) under soil metagenome. RNAcentral describes it as "partial contains 5.8S ribosomal RNA, internal transcribed spacer 2, and large subunit ribosomal RNA". The stretch from base 1 to 122 matches the Rfam family "5.8S ribosomal RNA", at positions 35 to 154 of the family's 154-position model. The record is from RNAcentral.
GAUGAAGAACGUAGCGAAAUGCGAUACUUGGUGUGAAUUGCAGAAUCCCGUGAACCAUCGAGUCUUUGAACGCAAGUUGCGCCCGAAGCCAUUAGGCCGAGGGCACGCCUGCCUGGGCGUCACACGUCGUUGCCCCCCCAUCUACUCCUUCGGGAUUGCGGGGGGCGGAUGAUGGCCUCCCGUGCGCCUCGCCGCGCGGUUGGCAUAAAUGCCAAGUCCUCGGCGACGCACGCCACGACAAUCGGUGGUUGCGAAACCUCGGUUGCCCGUCGUGUGCGGUCGUCGCGCAUCGAGGGCUCGAAAAAAUUGCCGGGUUCCGGCUCGGCUUUCAACGCGACCCCAGGUCAGGCGGGGUUACCCGCUGAACUUAAGCAUAUCAAUAAGCGGAGGA